RNAcentral lists this ribosomal RNA (349 nucleotides) under uncultured prokaryote. RNAcentral's name for it is "bacterial SSU rRNA". It matches the Rfam family "Bacterial small subunit ribosomal RNA", at positions 8 to 352 of the family's 1533-position model. The record is from RNAcentral.
AGAGUUUGAUCCUGGCUCAGGACGAACGCUGGCGGCGUGCUUAACACAUGCAAGUCGAACGAUGAAGCCUAGCUUGCUAGGUGGAUUAGUGGCGAACGGGUGAGUAAUACGUGAGUAACCUACCUUUAACUCUGGGAUAAGCCUGGGAAACUGGGUCUAAUACCGGAUACGACCAAUCUCCGCAUGGGGUGUUGGUGGAAAGCGUUAUGUAGUGGUUAUAGAUGGGCUCACGGCCUAUCAGCUUGUUGGUGAGGUAACGGCUCACCAAGGCGACGACGGGUAGCCGGCCUGAGAGGGUGACCGGCCACACUGGGACUGAGACACGGCCCAGACUCCUACGGGAGGCGAC